Molecule: ribosomal RNA, 396 nt
Filed under: uncultured Verrucomicrobiota bacterium
Lineage: Bacteria; Pseudomonadati; Verrucomicrobiota
Description: uncultured Verrucomicrobia bacterium partial 16S ribosomal RNA
Rfam family: Bacterial small subunit ribosomal RNA
Source: RNAcentral
AGAGUUUGAUCAUGGCUCAGANCGAACGCUGGCGGCGUGGAUAAGACAUGCAAGCCGAACGAGACUUUUCGUUGUAGCAAUACGAUGGAAAGUUUAGUGGCGAACGGGUGCUUAACACGUGGGCAACCCGCCAUGAAGUGGGGGAUAGCUCGCCGAAAGKCGAAUUAAURCCGCAUGUGAUUAGAAAGGACAUCCUUUCGAGAUUAAAGUCGGGGCWCCCUGACGCNUCUUGUGGGGCCCUCGGCCUAUCAGCUAGUUGGUGAGGUAACGGCUCACCAAGGCUUUGYCGGGUAGYUGGUUUGAGAGGACGUCCAGCCACACUGGGAUUGAGACNSGGCCCAGMCMCCUACGGGUGGCACCAGUCGAGAAUUUUUGCACAAUGGGGCAAMCCCUGCC